This 497-nucleotide ribosomal RNA is filed under the name uncultured bacterium. RNAcentral describes it as "partial 16S ribosomal RNA". It matches the Rfam family "Bacterial small subunit ribosomal RNA", at positions 28 to 507 of the family's 1533-position model. The record is from RNAcentral.
GAUGAACGCUGGCGGCGUGCCUAAUACAUGCAAGUCGAGCGAACAGACGAGGAGCUUGCUCCUCUGACGUUAGCGGCGGACGGGCGAGUAACACGUGGAUAACCUACCUAUAAGACUGGGAUAACUUCGGGAAACCGGAGCUAAUACCGGAUAAUAUAUUGAACCGCAUGGUUCAAUAGUGAAAGACGGUUUUGCUGUCACUUAUAGAUGGAUCCGCGCCGCAUUAGCUAGUUGGUAAGGUAACGGCUUACCAAGGCAACGAUGCGUAGCCGACCUGAGAGGGUGAUCAGCCACACUGGAACUGAGACACGGUCCAGACUCCUACGGGAGGCAGCAGUAGGGAAUCUUCCGCAAUGGGCGAAAGCCUGACGGAGCAACGCCGCGUGAGUGAUGAAGGUCUUCGGAUCGUAAAACUCUGUUAUUAGGGAAGAACAAAUGUGUAAGUAACUAUGCACGUCUUGACGGUACCUAAUCAGAAAGCCACGGCUAACUACGUG